GCCUACGGGUGGCAGCAGUGGGGAAUAUUGGACAAUGGGCGAAAGCCUGAUCCAGCCAUGCCGCGUGUGUGAAGAAGGCCUUCGGGUUGUAAAGCACUUUCAGUGGGGAAGAAAGCCUUGGGGCUAAUACCCUCGAGGAAGGACAUCACCCACAGAAGAAGCACCGGCUAACUCCGUGCCAGCAGCCGCGGUAAUACGGAGGGUGCGAGCGUUAAUCGGAAUUACUGGGCGUAAAGCGCGCGUAGGCGGUCUGAUAAGCCGGUUGUGAAAGCCCCGGGCUCAACCUGGGAACGGCAUCCGGAACUGUCAGGCUAGAGUGCAGGAGAGGAAGGUAGAAUUCCCGGUGUAGCGGUGAAAUGCGUAGAGAUCGGGAGGAAUACCAGUGGCGAAGGCGGCCUUCUGGACUGACACUGACGCUGAGGUGCGAAAGCGUGGGUAGCAAACAGGAUUAGAUACCCGGGUAGUC
This 466-nucleotide ribosomal RNA is filed under the name Vreelandella stevensii. RNAcentral describes it as "partial 16S ribosomal RNA". It matches the Rfam family "Bacterial small subunit ribosomal RNA", at positions 337 to 795 of the family's 1533-position model. The record is from RNAcentral. Lineage: Bacteria; Pseudomonadati; Pseudomonadota; Gammaproteobacteria; Oceanospirillales; Halomonadaceae.